RNAcentral lists this ribosomal RNA (95 nucleotides) under Methanoregula sp. Lineage: Archaea; Methanobacteriati; Methanobacteriota; Methanomicrobia; Methanomicrobiales; Methanoregulaceae. The record is from RNAcentral.
CCUGGUCUCAUUCCGAACCCAGCAGUUAAGCCGAGACACGUAGUAUACUGUACUGAGGUACGCGAGUCCUCGGGAACUAUACCAAGCUGCUAUCA